UACAGUAUUGCCUGGUUCACCAUCCUCAC
RNAcentral lists this small RNA (29 nucleotides) under Bombyx mori (domestic silkworm). RNAcentral describes it as "ovarian small RNA-20326". Lineage: Eukaryota; Metazoa; Arthropoda; Insecta; Lepidoptera; Bombycidae. The record is from RNAcentral.